RNAcentral lists this ribosomal RNA (816 nucleotides) under uncultured bacterium. Its description in RNAcentral is "bacterial SSU rRNA". It matches the Rfam family "Bacterial small subunit ribosomal RNA", at positions 8 to 853 of the family's 1533-position model. The record is from RNAcentral.
AGAGUUUGAUCAUGGCUCAGGAUGAACGCUGGCGGCGUGCCUAACACAUGCAAGUCGAGCGAUCUUCUUCGGAAGAGAGCGGCGGACGGGUGAGUAACGCGUGGGUAACCUGCCUCAUACACAUGGAUAACAUACCGAAAGGUAUGCUAAUACAAGAUGAUAUAAGAGAUUCGCAUGGAUUCCUUAUCAAAGCUCCGGCGGUAUGAGAUGGACCCGCGUCUGAUUAGCUAGUUGGUAAGGUAACGGCUUACCAAGGCGACGAUCAGUAGCCGACCUGAGAGGGUGAUCGGCCACAUUGGAACUGAGACACGGUCCAAACUCCUACGGGAGGCAGCAGUGGGGAAUAUUGCACAAUGGGCGAAAGCCUGAUGCAGCAACGCCGCGUGAGCGAUGAAGGCCUUCGGGUCGUAAAGCUCUGUCCUCAAGGAAGAUAAUGACGGUACUUGAGGAGGAAGCCCCGGCUAACUACGUGCCAGCAGCCGCGGUAAUACGUAGGGGGCCAGCGUUAUCCGGAUUUACUGGGCGUAAAGGGUGCGUAGGUGGUUUCUUAAGUCAGGAGUGAAAGGCUACGGCUCAACCGUAGUAAGCUCUUGAAACUGGGAAACUUGAGUGCAGGAGAGGAAAGUGGAAUUCCUAGUGUAGCGGUGAAAUGCGUAGAUAUUAGGAGGAACACCAGUAGCGAAGGCGGCUUUCUGGACUGUAACUGACACUGAGGCACGAAAGCGUGGGGAGCAAACAGGAUUAGAUACCCUGGUAGUCCACGCCGUAAACGAUGAGUACUAGGUGUCGGGGGUUACCCCCCUCGGUGCCGCAGCU